AUACGUAGGUGGCAAGCGUUAUCCGGAUUUACUGGGUGUAAAGGGCGUGUAGGCGGGUUUCCAAGUCGGAUGUGAAAAGGCAAGGCUCAACUUUGCUCGGUCAUCCGAAACUGGAGAUCUUGAGUGUCUGAGGGGAAAGCGGAAUUCCUGGUGGAGCGGUAAAAUGCGUAGAGAUCAGGAGGAACACCGGCGGCGAAGGCGGCUUUCUGGCAGACAACUGACGCUGAGGCGCGAAAGCGUGGGGAGCAAACAGGAUUAGAUACCCUGGUAGUCCACGCUGUAAACGAUGAAUACUAGGUGUAGGAGGUAUCGACUCCUUCUGUGCCGCAGCUAACGCAUUAAGUAUUCCACCUGGGGAGUACGGCCGCAAGGUUAAAACUCAAAUGAAUUGACGAGG
This 397-nucleotide ribosomal RNA is filed under the name uncultured bacterium. RNAcentral describes it as "partial 16S ribosomal RNA". It matches the Rfam family "Bacterial small subunit ribosomal RNA", at positions 523 to 918 of the family's 1533-position model. The record is from RNAcentral.